RNAcentral lists this non-coding RNA (634 nucleotides) under Pongo abelii (Sumatran orangutan). The record is from RNAcentral. Lineage: Eukaryota; Metazoa; Chordata; Mammalia; Primates; Hominidae.
GUCUUUUGCUUUCUUUUUCUGCCCUCGGCCUCGCUCUUGUGCACUGGACCACAAUGCUCCGCGCCGCUUGUCAUUGGGAGGCGCCGAAGGUGGGGGUCGGCUCGGAAGGAAAAGCAAUCACAGGAAUAUAUAAAACAUCAGCAGAAAGAGGCCUUUGGAGGAAUCCAGACCAGCAUUCUCAUUUUACGGAUGAGGGACUGCGGCCCAUGGAGGUUUCCAUAGAUGAUUGGAAAAACCCAAGAGUUGGUCCUCUGUUCCAGACCCCACACAGACACAAACCUACGAGCCAAGGGAGCCAGUAUUUGGCCAUUCGUCCAUCCAUCUGCAUGUCCCAGGGAUGCACGAACAGGGAACACUUCAGCCUUUCGGCUGCCUUCAAAGAAGCAAUGAGAGAGAGAGAGAGGGUUACUUUGAUGAAUGAGCAGAUACCAGGUACUGUUUUGGGGAAACUGCUUUUCUUUGAGUCUAUAUUGGUCUGCAUAAAUAAACUAAAAUGGUUUCAAGGUUGUUUUAUGAUCUAUAUAGAAGAGAUAUUGACAAACUUCUCCUGCUUGGAAAAUAAAAGGGACACUUAGAAUUAACAAAGGGGGUUGGUAGAUUUACCAUUGAGGUUGAUGAACUUAAUAAAUCAUCU